This is a long non-coding RNA of Amphiprion ocellaris (clown anemonefish), 534 nucleotides long. RefSeq lists it as uncharacterized. NCBI's taxonomy places the organism in Eukaryota, Metazoa, Chordata, Actinopteri, Pomacentridae. The record is from RefSeq and is a predicted model, not a curated record. The transcript has 3 exons.
AUGAAGCCUCCAUGACGCACCCAGAGAAUCCCUGAAGAGGCUUUGAAGCUCAGUGUUUUGGCUCCAGCAUUUCAUCAGUGCCUGAUUCCUUCCAGCUCCCAGAUAAUCCAAAAAUGACGAAAGAUGUGGAGCUGGGGCGGGCCAUGAAAACCUGUCUGGGACAUGAAUGGCACCAGGCUGUUACUUAAAAGUGGCUACAAUGGUUCAAAUAGUUGUCUCCCAGAAGAAACAGUGCAUGGAUGCCAGGUGUGGCUGUGAUGUUGUCAGCCCGUGAUUGGUUAGCUAGCUGCCCACCUGCAGGUGAUUGACCCUGGAUCGAUGAGGCCAAAUGCUUAAGGAACCAGGAUGACACUACCUUGAUGCAGGGAAUCUGCCCGUCUACCAGAUGAUAACUCACAGAGACGACGCCGGGUCCUUCGAGGAGCGGGCCGGCCGAUCGGGGCAGGGACAGCAAGGGUCCGGGUCCACAUCCACAUCCACAUCCACUAUCUGGCGGACGGCUGGGGGAAAGACGCACGCUGCUCUGUCGGCUGA